GUUGCCAGCAUUCAGUUGGGCACUCUAAGGGACUGCCGGUGAUAAGCCGAGAGGAAGGUGGGGAGUGACGUCAAGUCCUCAUUGGCCCUUAUGGGUAGGGCUUCACACGUCAUACAAUGGUCGGUACAGAGGGUUGCCAACCCGCGAGGGGGAGCUAAUCCCACAAAGCCGAUCGUAGUCCGGAUCGCAGUCUGCAACUCGACUGCGUGAAGUCGGAAUCGCUAGUAAUCGUGGAUCAGCAUGUCACGGUGAAUACGUUCCCGGGUCUU
Molecule: ribosomal RNA, 269 nt
Filed under: uncultured Rhodocyclaceae bacterium
Lineage: Bacteria; Pseudomonadati; Pseudomonadota; Betaproteobacteria; Rhodocyclales; Rhodocyclaceae
Description: partial 16S ribosomal RNA
Rfam family: Bacterial small subunit ribosomal RNA
Source: RNAcentral